This 227-nucleotide ribosomal RNA is filed under the name uncultured bacterium. Its description in RNAcentral is "partial 16S ribosomal RNA". It matches the Rfam family "Bacterial small subunit ribosomal RNA", at positions 97 to 339 of the family's 1533-position model. The record is from RNAcentral.
GGCGGACGGGUGAGUAACACGUAGGAACCUGCCCGGAAGUGGGGGAUAACUCCUCGAAAGAGGAGCUAAUACCGCAUGUGGUCUACGGACCAAAGCAGCAAUGCGCUUCUGGAGGGGCCUGCGGUGGAUUAGCUAGUUGGUGGGGUAAUGGCUCACCAAGGCGACGAUCUGUAGCUGGUCUGAGAGGAUGAUCAGCCACACUGGGACUGAGACACGGCCCAGACUCC